AUCUCACCUCCAUCUCAGGUGGCUCUUCAUCUUCAUGAUGAUUCAGGCCCAUGACCAUCUUCCUAAACGCUCUAUUCACCCACACAACCCUAUUUAACCUGUCUGAUACGAACCCUGGACACGUAUCCCCUCCCAGAUUAGUUAAAUUCUCCAUGUCUGUACGCCCUAACCCUAGCGCAUCCAUGCACGUCUCACUCACGUAGUCCACCGUUACCCACGUUUCCGCUUCCUUCCUCCUUGGAGACAUCACUGCUAUCUCACCUAGCGCUUCCUCACGAUCAUUCAUCAAGUUCAAGUUCAGGUUCAAGUUCAGCCGAAUAAAAGGGCCACCAUCUUCCUGACAUUCAUACAUACUAGCACUAUCCCAGGCUCCACCUUUUGAUGAGACCCUUUGUUCCGCACGAUUCUCCUGUAACAGUUGCAGCGUGGAACAACGGCGAUAUCCCUAAACGUCGGCGAUGGACCAAGUAGAGGCCCUCCGACCUCCGGCUUUGGAGCGAUGGGUCGGAAUCUUAGCAUCAACCUGUUGAUCAUCGUCUUAUCCUGCACACUACCGGCGCAUCUCACGGAGCGCCACCCCUCGCCGCCAUCCAUGCUUAUCCUACCCACCUAGCACAGCACUACCACCAGGUCAUCGUGGGAUCCAAAUUUGUGUCUCUCUCUUCUCGAUCUGCGGGUGCGGGUGCAGGUUCCGAAGCAAUUAUUCUCUUCCGCUGAGGGCUCAAGAGGAGGGGAGCCGGUGGGCCAAGUCGCUACCAAACUAGACAGAGGGGGCAAUGAGAGAGGGUGAAAAAGGCAAAGGAGAUCGGUCACGUGUCCAGUUAAAAGUCCAAUUCCAUUGGUAGAGUGGUGUUGGGCCAGCGAUAAAGUGAUGCACCCGGCACAAUGGAGUACGCAGAGAUGGUCCCACCAAAGGACCAAUCAGAAUAGAGAAGGUGUCCAGCACUGCCGAAAGCAUGGUACACGUGGGCUGUUCCAAUGAAAACAUCACUGUGGGAUGAAGUGGAGAAGAGGGACUUGGGGUUGGGGAGGUUCCAGAAUAACCACACGUGGUUGGGUUCUAUUCGUGGCCUCGUCCAUAUUAAACGGGUCUGGCCGAUUCCCCACUCGAGAGCAUGUUCGUGAACUUCACGACCCACCCAGACGGCUGUCUUUUCAUGAGAAUCGUGAUGCGUGAGUCUCACGAUCGUGACGGCCAAAGAAUAAGAAUGUUUAGAUAUAUUUACAUCCAAAAUUAAUGGAUGUACCAUAUAAGACACGUUGCAGUUUUUUAGAUGAGCGGAUCUCGGCUAAGAUUUCUUA
Prosopis cineraria is the source of this 1302-nucleotide long non-coding RNA. RefSeq lists it as uncharacterized. The transcript has 2 exons. The record is from RefSeq and is a predicted model, not a curated record. Lineage: Eukaryota; Viridiplantae; Streptophyta; Magnoliopsida; Fabales; Fabaceae.